RNAcentral lists this ribosomal RNA (454 nucleotides) under uncultured prokaryote. Its description in RNAcentral is "partial 16S ribosomal RNA". The record is from RNAcentral.
CCCUAUGGGGUGCAGCAACAUACAUAUUCGCAGAUACAAGAUAUUUCACGCCAGCAUGGGAUCAAUCUACGCGUUAUCCAUCAUCUGGAUUCAACGAUAUUCCGGGGAAAGUGUUUUAUCGGUGAUUUAGAUAUAGCACUCCAAUUGCUUUCAGAGCUGAUCCUAUACCCCACCUUUGAACAAUCUUAUGUAACGCAUAUCAAAUCCUCCACUAUGGAAAGUAUUCGCCGUGAAGAUGAUUAUCCCGUAACCUAUGCUUUUAAACUGUGGCAGAGAAUGCUCUGUGGAACACAGACCAAUCUAGAUAACAGCAGUGGCACUAUAGGUCAGAUUAACAACAUUAAAAGAAGUGAUUUGAUUGGCUGGCACGAACGAUGGAAUUUCCCCGAGCGGUUUGAAUUAAGUAUAGUGGGUUCCCUGGCACCCGAGCAGAUUUAUGAAUUGGCGGGAGAGC